UGCAUGAAGAUCGUUGCGGAGUUUCGUCAGAUUCAUUUUCCUGGGCAGGGGCCUUCACUUGCAUUUUUGCAGCCGUCAUCUCCGUGACCUGCACAUUCCAUUCUCACGUGCUGCGUUUGCAGCACCCUCGCCACUUAAAAGGAACCCAUGUCGUCGACUGGUGACGACGAUGUUUGUUUCAUCGUUAUAUGUGUAUUCAUGCUUUGCUCAGCACACAGUUGGGUUCCGUCUGAUCAGAACUCUCAAAAUUGCACCCUAACGUGUGCCUCGAUGAUUCUACGAGUAUUUCUUCGUCAGGGUCCUCCCUGUUUUGAGAUAUUCGUUUACAUUCACACACAUUCACUGACACAGCCACAACAUUGUCCGACGGACGACCUAUGGGCAUUCAACUCCACAUUUUUCUCCAUUGAACCGUGAAAAUCCACGCCCUUAUGGAGGCUGCUUUUUGUUUCGGUUUGUUGCUCCUUUUUGUCCUUCAUUCCGCACCUUUGGUGCCAAGUCUUUGUGAGAAUCGGUAUCAGAACAUAGUGUUGUCUGAAGGAUAAGCUACAGUUUGAGCUUGAUUGAAAAUGGUUUUUAAGUAUGGAAUAUGGCUUGCUCAUGACCUAAGCCGCCUGCCUGCAUACACCUAUCUGACUGCACUUAUUAGUAUUAAUGGUGGUGCACCAAGACUGUGAUCUGUUACAUUGAUGAGAUUUGAGUUGGGAAUGUUAGGAUCGUCAGAGUGACGGUUAUUGAGGGAAGCGUUGAGAGAGAAGGAGGUAGCGAGGGUGUGGGGCUCAUUGGUGGAGCUUGGGGCUGGAAAGGGUCGUUAGAUGGGUACUGUCACAUGAAUCCUUGUCUUUGUCACCAUCAUGCACGGAUUUGGUGGUGAGCACCUGGAACAUCAAUUCUUGGGUUGAACUUCGUCAGCUGCCGGUUGGUUGGACUUCACCGAAGCCAGAUUGAAUGAUUCUUGCGUUAAGUGUUUUGAAUGUUGUCAACUGGGUCAAUGGUUGUUUGAGAGAGGGACUGUGGAGUGGAUUUGAUCUGCAGGUUUCGUGGUACUCUUGAGGAUGAGACAAGACCAAGAGAUAGUGGGAGAUAGGUGUUAGAUUCGAAAUUCGACGACGGAAGGGGGAUCAGCCCUUUGGAGGGCCAAGUAGGAUGUGAAAACAACUUGGAGUAUUGCGGGUCUCAAGUCUAGGCCGUUUCCAUGGCCGCAGCAGCUUUCGUGCUGAGAAAUUUUCUCUUACCCACACUUCUAGCAUCCGUGGCACCACAAGUGUUAUACCCAACUACUGCCUCACUGACAUCUGCCUCGUCUGAUCCACCCAUCAGCUGUAGUCUUCCGAGUGCCUCAAUGGUUUCCCCUAACCACUGCAAUGCUGACGAUGACCAGAUCAUGAGAAAGCAGACACAAAGUUGUCAAAGUUUAUUGACAAUGGUGGAGGAUGCUCCUACGUCUGAGUGUUGCACUGGUCUGAACAAUAUUGCUUUCAAUCGCAUUGCUUGUGUCUGCAAGAAGACCUUCUACCCACCCACAGCUCACAAUGCGUCCCGGCAGCUGGAUCUCCCUUAGAUCUGUGGUGUGAUAACAAAUUUGUGCGGCCAGUGUCCCAUGUUCAUAAUUUCAAGUGCGAACGGAGGACCUCUUUCUUCACUCCGUGUUACUUCGUGAGACGUAUACAUAUCGCGUGGACGAAACGUCAACACCUUCCAUAGUCGGUGCGAUUUCAAUGGCGGUCAUUUUUGGAGUGUUGCUGCUGACCUUCGCUGUUUUCUUCAUCCUAAUGCUUGUCAAGAAACGAAGGGAGAAAAACUGUCCUCGGGUACUCUUUCAAGCUCCUCCGCCCGGUGGUGCGUUUUGAGUUAAGGUAACGUGUACAUCAAAUGGGCAAGUAAAGCUCCAUGCUGUUGCCAGUGAAUUCGUAACUCUAUCGCGUGAAACAAAAUUUCUUUGCUGAAAAGAAUGUGUGUCACUGGAAGUCCAACAGAAUAUCAAUCAAGAUCUAAUCUCUCGUCGCGGAUCUACAGCCUGGUAGCCUGCACUGCGUCCUUAGUCCGCCGGAUCGUUUCCCCGAGGGAGUGUGCGUCCGGGUAAUGUACAGCGAUGUUGUGAUUGAAGACAAGUUUUUCACAAUGCAGCGCAUAGAUGUUUUGUUGAGGAGAUCCAUUUUCUUUAUAGGAUCGAUCCAGUUUUCACCUCAUCACCGAAUUUUUUCGGUGCAACGAUUAUUGCCCAGCGGCCAACUUUCUGUUGGUAAUCCCUCUUUUGAUCCUCUCAUUAAAGACAUUCAGGACAUUUUAUGUACCGUGUACGAGUUAUCGAGCAUAUUGAAUGCCUCGAAUGGUCAAGAACGGGACAAAGAUCUGCAGGAAGCCUGGCAGCUUACUGUAAUUCAUCCUCCGUUCUUAAUCCCACUCUCCACUUCCCGCCUGGAGGUUUGAAACAUCAUUGGUUAUGAUAUCGUGGGCUUUGCAUGGAGCUCUCCAUCUAUUCCACCGCCAAGCCCCCUCUUUUUUACUUGUAAUUACCAAUCAUCCUGGUGUUAACCAAGUGUGAUACUUGUUCGUCAUGGUAACCGACAUAAAUUACACAACGGAGAAUAGGUUCAAACCAAAAAAAAGAAAGAAAAAAAAACCCUUAUAUUACUCACGCUGACUGUCGGGUGAUAGUGCUGAUAUUCUGGUACUGUGAGAGCAUAACUUUGAGGCGAUUUGAGGAUGCGCAGUUGAGCUCAUUAUCACAGCAAGAUCUGUUGACAAGUCUAUCAAGUAAUUGAAAUUCAACGUCUGAAUCAAGUGAUUGUUUGCACAUCCCAACGUCAUCAUUUUCGGUGGAUCAAUGACGAUGGACUUGGUUCUUCACUUGGAAUGCUGCUAUAACACUUUCUUCUUUGCGCUCUCUUCUACAACAGUUUUCAAUAAAUGAACAGGAAACUACCUCCACUGCAGUCACCGCGACAUGCACUAUUCCAUCAGCUGCAACAUGUUAACCAGAACUCUAGUCGUAAGUCUUCUAACCAACGAUGAGCGAGUCAGGCGGGCAUUCAAAGCAGUUCUUAGCUCAAAAACUGCACCGAGCGAGUGUGCUUGUUAUUAUUAUUACAGAAUAUGGACGAUGGAUCUUUUGCAGCAACUGAUUGAUCCAGAACGUCCACAAGGAUAUUAUUCUACAUCCUCCAUAGAUAUUAUUUCCUUCUGACAGAUCAAGGCCAGGAUGCAACCGCUAAUAUUAUUUCCAAGACACACAGAAAGGAUUAUGCACGAGUGAGCAGCAGUAGCAUCCUGAAACAGACUUAACCAAUUAGUGACCGCAGCGUUGCACUCUAAUUUACGAGGGCUCCGCGUUCGGAACGCUUCAUAGAAGUGGGUCUGGUCCAGGUUUAGAACGAGGUUUGGGGUUUAGGAAUUAGGAUUUAGGUGGGUUGGAACUUUGUAUGGAAGUGGGUCUGGUCCAUACCCUCAUUCCACGGCACGUGCAGAAUAACUCAUUCAAGUCGCUGUCAGCACCCUCCGCCGCCACGUGAACCUUAUCGUUGACAAUUAAUGUGAUAAACAUGUUGUUAGCA
This is a non-coding RNA of Physcomitrium patens, 3554 nucleotides long. NCBI's taxonomy places the organism in Eukaryota, Viridiplantae, Streptophyta, Bryopsida, Funariales, Funariaceae. The record is from RefSeq and is a predicted model, not a curated record.